UUCCCCGCCGCAAAUCUCCACCGCAGCGGGGCUUAAUCUAUUGCCCCACUCCGUUGCAGCUUAGUCGUACGAGCUGACAGCCUCUCGUACCCUGUUGCAUCAGGGCAAGGAGAAGGGAUCAGGGGCGCCACCGUCGGCAAUGUUGUACAUGCGUGGGGUUCAGUAAUUUCAGCAACGUCGCCGGUAGCUUCUCGUCUAACACAUAGCCGAUUAAGUGGUGGCUAGCUGAACUGGAGCGUCCAAACGCCGCACUCUCCAGUAUGAGGAGGGCGAUGGAUCGAGGUUGGAUGAGUCAACCAAGAACUAGUGUUGCUUACAAAGAUGGUGUCGGGCAAUUUCUGUCUUUUGCAUUCCAUGAUGUUCCAGCUGGUGAUAGAAUUAUCUGUCCUUGUGUAAAUUGCUGAAAUAAAGCUAGAGGAUGAGUUUGGGUUCAUUCUUGUGAACAAGUCUCGGGAAAUACACACAGGAGAUCAGUUAGAGGAUGAUCCUUUUGUAUUUUCUUCCCAAGUGCAGCAGGUUUUCUAUGUUCAAGAUCCAAAAGCUGAAUUAUGGAAUGUAGUAGUGGAAGUCAGGCCUCGUGACCUUUUUGACAUGGGUGAUGAAGAAUCAUCAGAUGAAACAGAUUAGAGCAUUGUGCUUUUGGGGUGUGUUUGGUUCGGGAAUGAAGUGUAAUGGAAUGUCAUGGUUCCGUUCUACUAGAAUGGGUCGGUUCCAUCUCUGUGUUUGGUAGAAGCAAUUCAAAGGAAUGGAAUUGUUAUAUUUUCA
Molecule: long non-coding RNA, 765 nt
Organism: Triticum dicoccoides
Lineage: Eukaryota; Viridiplantae; Streptophyta; Magnoliopsida; Poales; Poaceae
Exons: 3
Source: RefSeq, a predicted model, not a curated record